Molecule: non-coding RNA, 73 nt
Organism: Camelus ferus (Wild Bactrian camel)
Lineage: Eukaryota; Metazoa; Chordata; Mammalia; Artiodactyla; Camelidae
Source: Rfam
GGAGUGUAGAGCUCAGUGGUACAGCACAUGCUUAGCUUGCAUGAGGUCCUGGGUUCAAUCCCCAGUACCUCCA